GGGGUCCCGUGAGAUGACAUAAACUUCAGGCCCCACAGAAUCUAGACCUGCCCUCGCACAGUUGUCUCCUAACCCCUCUGAUCAGGGCAGGGCUUGUGUUUAUUCUCUUAAUUUUUGAGAUGAGGAGAUGGAAGCCCAUAGAGGUAAGCUGCUUGCCCUUGGCUUUGCUGCUAGUGCUAGAAGCCAGCCCUUUUGGUUCUCACUUCAGACAUCUGGUCACACCAGGGAAAUGGAACCGCCAGUCAACCAGGACUCGCCUGAUCAGCGCUAGUGAGGUCACCUGCCUGAGAGACCCCUGCCACCCACUAAAGGAAAGAGCACCUACAAGAAGAUCAGGAUUCCCCAGGAAAUUCUGCCCCCUAAUCCAUGAGAUAGAUCUUGGUCUGGA
RNAcentral lists this long non-coding RNA (388 nucleotides) under Equus caballus (horse). RNAcentral describes it as "lncRNA (ENSECAG00000044953.1)". The record is from RNAcentral. Lineage: Eukaryota; Metazoa; Chordata; Mammalia; Perissodactyla; Equidae.